Molecule: long non-coding RNA, 527 nt
Organism: Eupeodes corollae
Lineage: Eukaryota; Metazoa; Arthropoda; Insecta; Diptera; Syrphidae
Exons: 3
Source: RefSeq, a predicted model, not a curated record
CUUCCAUUUGUGCAACAGAGCCACUUGAUCGAACAUCACUACGACGACGCUACUUGGGCAGGAGCCUUUCCUAUCUUAAAAUCAUCACUUAUAAAAAAAAAAAAACAUAGCAGUAAUACUCCAUUGUAGCAUUCAAGUUAAGCUUUUUUGAGGUAUUAAUUUAUUUGGCCACAAGCACAUUGCAAUCAGAACUCAGUUUGAAUUUUACCUUGCUGUAGAACUGAAGUCGCUGAGUUUUUCGUUUUUUUUUCGUUCCGUUGUGUUAUCUUCUUAUUGCAAAAAUGUUUUUGUGUUGUUGUCGUACAAGUAAAUCAAUCGAUUUGCAGUCUGUCCCAUCAGCGACUCCUAAAAAUACUUCAAAUACAAUUAUAACAGCUGAACCAUCACGCAGUGCGCCACCCCCAACUGAUUAUACCAAUGAACGGCAAAUUUCAUGAGACUAAAAAUAAAUAAUAUGUACUUUAAGUGUGAAAUACAAGUAUGGACUUUUGUUUUUCUUAACAAAUUAUAAGUUACUUUAAACAGUA